GUCCUCGAGCACACCUGAUUCAAAUGAUCAGCUCGUUAUCAAGCCAUUCCAGAGCUUGAUAACGAGCUGAUCAUUUGAAUCAGGUGUGCUCGAGGAC
Non-coding RNA from Xyrichtys novacula (pearly razorfish), 97 nucleotides. The record is from the annotation of a GenBank genome assembly. Lineage: Eukaryota; Metazoa; Chordata; Actinopteri; Labriformes; Labridae.